Molecule: long non-coding RNA, 576 nt
Organism: Lolium rigidum
Lineage: Eukaryota; Viridiplantae; Streptophyta; Magnoliopsida; Poales; Poaceae
Exons: 2
Source: RefSeq, a predicted model, not a curated record
UUGUACAGCUACAACCUCAAACCAGCUCAACGGUAUAUAACUUUCUCACUUGUUUCACAUACACAAAAUAAUUUUUCUAACAUUUAUGUACACGUUUUAUAGGGUCAUUUGGAGUUUAUGAAAAAUCAAAUGGGUGCAUACCAAUUACAGUACAGCCCAUUUGUAAAUGCUUCGCUUGGUACUGCCAUCUCCAUGUCACCACACGAACAAAGAAUGUUGACAGGAUUCCAACCAUAUAAUACACUAAUGGAUCAUCCCACAAAUCAGAUGGACAUAUAUUUACAACAGAACAACUCAACUCCGAUUUACGCACAGCAACAAACAAUUGGGACUUCUGCUUCUACUAUGAUGGCGCAACAAAAUCAUGCCUUCUUACAACAGAACUCAACUCCGAUUUACUCAGACCAACAAACCAUUGGGCCCUCUAGUUCUACUAUGAUGGCACGACAACAGCAAGCCUUCUUCGAUCAAUUGAAGCCAAAUUAGUCAAUAUGUUGUCUAGAGUUUUAUCUCUUGUUUCGAAGCAAAAUUGAACCAGCCUAUGCAUAUCAAUGAAACUAGCAACUAUGUUCACAA